UACGUAGGGUGCAAGCGUUGUCCGGAAUUAUUGGGCGUAAAGAGCUCGUAGGCGGUUUGUCGCGUCUGCUGUGAAAACUCAGGGCUUAACCCUGAGCCUGCAGUGGGUACGGGCAGACUAGAGUGUGGUAGGGGAGAUCGGAAUUCCUGGUGUAGCGGUGGAAUGCGCAGAUAUCAGGAGGAACACCGGUGGCGAAGGCGGAUCUCUGGGCCAUAACUGACGCUGAGGAGCGAAAGUGUGGGGAGCGAACAGG
RNAcentral lists this ribosomal RNA (253 nucleotides) under uncultured bacterium. RNAcentral's name for it is "partial 16S ribosomal RNA". It matches the Rfam family "Bacterial small subunit ribosomal RNA", at positions 524 to 776 of the family's 1533-position model. The record is from RNAcentral.